GGAGGGUGCAAGCGUUAUCCGGAUUUACUGGGUUUAAAGGGUGCGUAGGUGGGUAGGUAAGUCAGUGGUGAAAUCUUCAAGCUUAACUUGGAAACUGCCAUUGAUACUAUUUAUCUUGAAUACUUUGGAGGUAAGCGGAAUAUGUCAUGUAGCGGUGAAAUGCUUAGAUAUGACAUAGAACACCAAUUGCGAAGGCAGCUUACUACACAGUUAUUGACACUGAGGCACGAAAGCGUGGGGAUCAAACAGGAUUAGAUACCCUGGUAGUCCACGCCCUAAACGAUGGAUACUCGACAUUAGCGAUACACAGUUAGUGUCUGAGCGAAAGCAUUAAGUAUCCCACCUGGGAAGUACGACCGCAAGGUUG
This 367-nucleotide ribosomal RNA is filed under the name uncultured bacterium. RNAcentral describes it as "bacterial SSU rRNA". It matches the Rfam family "Bacterial small subunit ribosomal RNA", at positions 527 to 896 of the family's 1533-position model. The record is from RNAcentral.